AUACGUAGGUCCCGAACGUUGCGCGAAAUUACUGGGCGUAAAGGGUCCGUAGGCGGUCUGGUAAGUGGAAGGUGAAAGCCUGGGGCUCAACUCCAGAAUUGCCUUCCAAACUGCCGGACUUGAGGCAGGGAGAGGUCGGCGGAAUUCCCGGUGUAGCGGUGAAAUGCGUAGAUAUUGGGAGGAACACCAGUGGCGAAGGCGGCCGACUGGAACUGUCCUGACGCUGAGGGACGAAAGCCAGGGGAGCAAACCGGAUUAGAAACCCCAGUAGUCC
Molecule: ribosomal RNA, 274 nt
Filed under: uncultured bacterium
Lineage: Bacteria
Description: partial 16S ribosomal RNA
Rfam family: Bacterial small subunit ribosomal RNA
Source: RNAcentral